UAUACAGGUGUACCGCUCCGCGAUAUGAUAAAUAUUCACGUAAACGAAAACCGGUUUUUUCAGCAAGUUUAACUGAAACUUAUUUGAUAACUGCAAGGAAGAAUUGUGAUUUGUAAAAGUGGUUCCUGGUUUGUUGUUGCGAGUGUUUUAAGUGGUGUUUCGAAACAGUGACAACAAGUUUUCUUGUGUUGUGUGUACGGUCCUUGAAUCGGAGGCUUCGUCGGUGCCGUUUCUUUUACGUUUUGGAGACGAUUAGUGCCGAAGAUCUCGCUGUCUCCAAGGAAGGUGGAUAAUCGUUCGAACUGAAGGUGCCGACGGCCAUGAUGGCGCCAAGCGUGACGCAGCGCACCAAGUCGCCACGCUCGCCAGGAAACCUGCCCAGGAAACUACAGAACGGGUCGGAAGCAGGCCAGUCGGAGCCGACGGCGGACUCCAGCCCAGGCAACUCCAUCUCUGACGUGGAAAACUUCGAGUGCUACGGCGAGGCCGACGCCGAUGUUCCCGCCAACGCACUAGAAAACGGCAACCGCAGCCCCGGCAACCUGAACCGGCACUCUUGGACGCGGACGAGUCUCCGGCGGACGCAGCCGAGCCACCAGGAGAACUUGCCGCAUCGGCGAUGGGGCUCCAUGAGACACUCUGGGAAGCGGCAAAUCGGAUCCAAUGUCUUAGCUAGCCAAUUAUAUCGUUCGUCGUCGUUCAACUCUUCGGGCUGCGGCUCAGGAGGAGAGCCGGCGGAUGAUAUGUACUCGGAUGUAUCGCUGGAAGAAGAUGUCCAAGGACUUAAUUAUAAGGUGCAACUGCUACAGCAACAGGUGACGUCACUGGCCGAUACGCAGAGCACGGCGGACGACCGCUACGCGCGGGCGAAGGCAGACAACGCGGUGCUACAGGCGCGCGUACACAUGCUCGACGAACAGAUACGAGAGAUCGAAAGCCGAUGCGAAGAGCGUAUAGCGGAGGAACAGAAACGAUGUCGGGAAGCGAUAUCACGUGUCGAGCGAGACAGGGACGCGCAGCUCGCUGCGUUCAGCGACAGGCUAGCUGCGGCUGAGACAGAAGCCUCCGAUCUUAAACAAGAGGUUGGAAGACUCCGAGGCGUAGCAGAGACGUUGCGCGCCAACGCCGACGCGGCCCAACGCGCGCACCGCGAGGCCCAAGAACAAGUUGGCGAACUUGUCGCCCAACUGAACGUAGCGAGAGAGAACGAGCGCAAAGAGAGGGAGGCCGCCGCCGCCGCGACGAAUUUGUUGGCGUCGGCGAAGCUGGAGUUACAGAAGAUGAAGGAAACGCCGCCGCCGCCGCCGGACCCGAGAUUAGAUGAGCUCAGGCAGGAACUGAUGCUGCUAAGGACGCAGAAUAAAACUUUAUCAGAAGCGCAAGAGGAGCUGCAGGCGCAGAUCCUGACGCGCGGCGUGGAAGAGGGCCGCAGUCUGCUGGACGGCGUCAGCGGCCCCCUCGUCGCCAACUCACUAGCUCACGAACUCUCCCAGAUGAGCGACGACCAGCUCGAUGGUAGCGAUACACAAACUGAUCACAGCAUAGAGUUGGAAAAGUUACAGAAAGCAUUGAAGGAGCAGCAAGACGUCAACUGUCAGCUAAGGAAUUACAUCGACGGUAUCCUGCUGUCGAUCGUCGAAAACUACCCUCAACUACUCGAGGUUAAGCACUCGAAACCUAUAGACAUGAAGUCAUAACGGCAAAACUCCGAACAAAGUUAAAGCCUGACCAGGUAUAUAUGAUCAGGCGCCAUGUUGCGGAAUUUCACUGGAACUAUUUUUUUCAUAGUAUACUGAACUGUCACCCUAUACAUGAGAAUAACAGCGCCCUCUUGACAAUGGUCAUAUAUUUAACUGGUCAGGCUCUAUAUUGAAGUGGUUAAUUUUUUUAGAGAAUUUCUACUAACAAAAUAAUCUUAUUAGAAUUUGAUAAUUAUUCAUUAUUGAAAUACCUACUGUGAUAAACCAAAAUUAUAUUGUCCACUUCUCCGUAAAGUUCAAUGAAAUUAUUAAAUAUAAAGUACUUAUUGUUUUUGAAUUGAACUAUGAAUCCUGAAAGAGCUCUUCCAAUUAUCUCUUAUUUGGUCAUGCCAUGAACGCAAGUAGAAAUUAUAGCGUAAAAAUUGUAAAUAUUGUAUAGAAAUUACUUUAAGAUAAGCAUAUAAAGUAGAUAUUUUGUCCCUUUGUCUCAUCAAAAUAUAACUGUUUGUAAUUAUUAAUUAACAUGCAGAUCUGUGUUAAAUACCUUAUUGUAAAUGAUAUUUGAGCAAGGCCAGGCCGUCCAUAAAGAUUUUAUAGAUUCAUAUUAUAAGUAGUUACGAUUAAAAGCAAUUUUAUGAAAGACUGGAGUGUGUGAGUAAAAGUGCGAUACGACUGGUUUCGUCGUCUGUAAUUUUAAGAGAUUGCUAUAUAGAACACGGAUUAUAACACUAAUAGAUGUGCAAUGUAGAAAAUAAGUACCUACCUAAAUGAACUUACGACGCCAGAAAGUUAUUUCAAUAUUUUCAAUAAAUGGCGUUUGACAUGGAUAUGGUUAAAUAUCAAAACCAAAGUUAAUUGUAUUAUUGCCUUAUAGUAAAUCUACUGUUAUAGGCUUGAAAGGUUGAAAUCCUGUUAGACGUUGCACAUCUAUUAGUACAAUUUAAGACCUAUGAUAUUUAUACCUACUUAAAAGAAUGUACCUAUAUUUUUACAAUGAUAUAUUUAAAUUGUAUGUAAAUUAAGUAGUAGUAAUUUAAGCAUUUGUGUACAUUUUGAUAACAUGGUUAAUGUAAAUCUAACAGAUGUUCAUGUAACAGUCAUCGACUUAAAUUAAAUGAAAGGUAUAAAAUAAA
RNA transcript from Cydia splendana, 2833 nucleotides. It is a transcript of the gene named rab11 family-interacting protein 4, with no coding region annotated. Lineage: Eukaryota; Metazoa; Arthropoda; Insecta; Lepidoptera; Tortricidae. The transcript has 15 exons. The record is from RefSeq and is a predicted model, not a curated record.